UACGAAGGGGGCUAGCGUUGUUCGGAAUCACUGGGCGUAAAGCGCACGUAGGCGGAUGUGUCAGUCAGGGGUGAAAUCCCGGGGCUCAACCUCGGAACUGCCUCUGAUACAGCACGUCUUGAGUCCGGAAGAGGUGGGUGGAAUUCCUAGUGUAGAGGUGAAAUUCGUAGAUAUUAGGAAGAACACCGGUGGCGAAGGCGACCCACUGGUCCGGUACUGACGCUGAGUUGCGAAAGCGUCGGGAGCAAACAGG
Molecule: ribosomal RNA, 253 nt
Filed under: uncultured bacterium
Lineage: Bacteria
Description: partial 16S ribosomal RNA
Rfam family: Bacterial small subunit ribosomal RNA
Source: RNAcentral